This 26-nucleotide ribosomal RNA is filed under the name Paeonia obovata. RNAcentral's name for it is "partial 26S ribosomal RNA". Lineage: Eukaryota; Viridiplantae; Streptophyta; Magnoliopsida; Saxifragales; Paeoniaceae. The record is from RNAcentral.
GACCCCAGAUCAGGCAGACACCGUGC